This 429-nucleotide ribosomal RNA is filed under the name Actinomycetes bacterium. RNAcentral's name for it is "Actinobacteria bacterium partial 16S ribosomal RNA". It matches the Rfam family "Bacterial small subunit ribosomal RNA", at positions 355 to 776 of the family's 1533-position model. Lineage: Bacteria; Bacillati; Actinomycetota; Actinomycetes. The record is from RNAcentral.
UAGGGAAUCUUCCGCAAUGGGCGAAAGCCUGACGGAGCAACGCCGCGCGAGUGAUGAAGGUCUUCGGAUCGUAAAACUCUGUUAUUAGGGAAGAACAAAUGUGUAAGUAACUAUGCACGUCUUGACGGUACCUAAUCAGAAAGCCACGGCUAACUACGUGCCAGCAGCCGCGGUAAUACGUAGGUGGCAAGCGUUAUCCGGAAUUAUUGGGCGUAAAGCGCGCGUAGGCGGUUUUUUAAGUCUGAUGUGAAAGCCCACGGCUCAACCGUGGAGGGUCAUUGGAAACUGGAAAACUUGAGUGCAGAAGAGGAAAGUGGAAUUCCAUGUGUAGCAGUGAAAUGCGCAGAGAUAUGGAGGAACACCAGUGGCGAAGGCGACUUUCUGGUCUGUAACUGACGCUGAUGUGCGAAAGCGUGGGGAUCAAACAGG